GACCAAAAUCCUCGCCGUCACCCCUCCGCCCCACCGGCGGCCAUGCAGAUGGAGGACCCGCAGUUCAUCAUCGGCACCUCCAGGAGCCGUAUGCUCGCCAGGAUGGAGCGCGACGGCGAGGACCCCGAGAUGCUGGACCUCGGCAUAAAGCUCUUCCUCUAUGUCGCGUACGACUACCUCCCGGACCCGCCCGUCUCCCCCACCCCCAUCCUCUCGCUUCCCGCCGUCGUGUGGGUCCCCCACGGCGUCGACCGCAUCAGCUGCCUCCCCGACGUCGUCCUCGUCAACAUCCUCUCCCGCCUCCCCGCCAAGGACGCCGCGCGCACCGCCGCCCUCGCCUCGCGCUGGCGCCCACUCUGGCGCACGGCGCCCCUCGCUCUCGUCGACAGCCACCUGCUUCCGGACGGCGGUGCCGCCGAUUCGUUCACCAUCGGCGCUCCCUCUCCUCGCGCCGUCACCGCUGCGGUGUCCCGCAUCCUCGCGGCGCACCCGGGCCCCUUCCGCUGCGUCCACCUCACCUGCACCACCAUGGACGAGCACCGGGGCUAGAUGGCCCGCUGGCUGGACGUCCUCGCCGCCAAGGGGGUCGAGGAACUCGUCUUUGUUAACCGCCCUUGGCCGCUAGACCUGCGCCUCCCCGCCACCAUCUUCAGCUGCGGCGCCUCCCUCACCCGCCUCUACCUCGGCGUUUGGAGGCUCCCAGACAUGGCCGCCGUGCCGCGUGGCGCAGGCUUCCCCAAAUUCCGUGAGCUCGGCCUCUGCAUGACUGUCAUGGAGGACCGCGAUCUGGCAUUCAUGCUUGAAAGAAGCCCCGUCCUGGAGUUCCUCGUCUUCAUGGCGAGCCAGACCGGAGUGCGCCUCCGCCUCGUCAGCCAGAGCCUGUGGUGCGUUCAGCUGGGUUAUACCCACUUGAAAGACAUCGACGUGGUCGAUGCCCCUCGCCUGGAGAGGCUCUUCCAGUGUACAACUUUUCUUGAGAGCGAGCUCACUGCCACCAGCCUCUCCCCCAUGAUCAAGAUUGGGCAUGCACCUAACCUGCGUGUGCUGGGAUAUCUUCAGCCAGGAGAGCAAGAGUUGGGGAUUAGCAACACCGUUAUCGUGGCUGGAACAAAGGAGAGCAUUGUCCCUAGUGUCCAGAUUUUCGCCAUAGAGGUGCAGUUCGGUAUCCGCAAUGCUGUCAAGAAAGUGCCUGGUUUCCUCAGAUGCUUUCCUAACCUGGAGACGCUCCAUGUUCAGUCACCCACCAUAUCUGAAGAGCCCACUGGCAAGGUGAACAUCAAGUUCUGGCAGGAGGGCGCCCCCAUCAAAUGUGUUGCGCAGAGCAUGAAGAAGGUGUUUUUCUAUGAGUUCCGAGGGUCGAGAAGCGAGGUUGUUUUCCUCAAGUUCCUUGCGGAGAGAGGGCGGGUGCUGGAGCAGAUGGUUGUUGUGGUAGCCAGCGAAUGUUUCACUUCGGGGUCGGGUUAUGUGAAUGACAAACUGAAGCCUCUGAUCAGUGCAAAAUGGUCGAGCAAAGGUUGCAAACUGCAGCUCUUCAAGAGCCCAGUCGGUGAGGGGUCCGGUCCAGCUUACUCUCACGAACUAGCUUCUGAUUUUGGGUUUCCUGACCCUUUUGACCUCAAGUACUACUAUAAGGCAGAAAGGAUCUCUGUAAGUUGA
RNAcentral lists this ribosomal RNA (1656 nucleotides) under Triticum aestivum (bread wheat). RNAcentral's name for it is "partial small subunit ribosomal RNA". Lineage: Eukaryota; Viridiplantae; Streptophyta; Magnoliopsida; Poales; Poaceae. The record is from RNAcentral.